This is a small nuclear RNA of Ailuropoda melanoleuca (giant panda), 98 nucleotides long. Lineage: Eukaryota; Metazoa; Chordata; Mammalia; Carnivora; Ursidae. The record is from Ensembl.
GUGCUCGCUUCUGCAGCACAUAUACCAAAAUUGGAAGGAUACAGAGAAGAUUAGCAUGGCCUCUGCACAAGGAUGGCAUGUGAAUUUGUGAAGGUUUU